Long non-coding RNA from Larimichthys crocea (large yellow croaker), 392 nucleotides. RefSeq lists it as uncharacterized. The record is from RefSeq and is a predicted model, not a curated record. NCBI's taxonomy places the organism in Eukaryota, Metazoa, Chordata, Actinopteri, Sciaenidae. The transcript is spliced from 3 exons.
UUUCUCCUCCUCUCUGUGCCAGUUCGUUUUGUACCCCAGUGCCUUACGUCCCAGCCCUGUUUAAAAAAAGGAAGAACAUUCCGAACAAGCAAACAAGUCUGUAAAUGAGCAGGCGAAAUCCAAAGUCCCUAAAACAGGCAGGAAAACAAAGUAGCAGUCGGAACAAGUCUGGGAAACAAAACAGGAAGAAUGGCUGGAACGCAUGAAGAUGAACUGACAGCGAAAGCAAAGAACACAGGGACUGAAUACACAAGUGAAGGCAGGACAAUAAGACACAGGAUGUACCCUCCAAGUGAACCAUGUGACCUAUGACCUGAUUGAGGCGUCCUCUGUCUGGAAAACAAGCCUAAUAGAGCACAGUGUUGGGUCACAGAGAAGACGUGCAUCAGACU